UUUUGUCACGAUAACAUCUGGAAAUAGUUUAUUUUUGUAAAUUAUGAAGUAAAUAAUCACAGAAUAGGUAAGAAAUAUAUGUUACCCUUAUCAGUAUCAUCACAUAUCUUCCUUUUUAGGAAUGACAAGACUAAUAAACCUUACACAUUGCCGUUAGGUGGUCGGGCAGUUGCGAUGUAAGGAAGGGCAGUCUUGUCUAACUUUUCAUUUUACCUUUUUUUCUGUGCAGGUGUAAAAUCUGCAAGCGGCAAGACACAAAAAUUGAAUAGGAUCGGAACUCCCAUAUCCGAAACAUUAUUACUGUGAGCAAUAAUUGAGUGUUAAAAAAAAAACCAGUGUCAUUUUCAUGAUGUUGUCCAUUGACACUGACAGAUUUAGGUUUUUGAAAUAGAGCCCCUUGUUUAGGGUAGUAAUGUUAUGUGAGUUCAUGGUCUAGUGGUUAAGACCAAUGGCUACAGUGCUGAAGGCCCCAAGUGAAAAUUACCCUUCUGAUGUACUGAUAUUUUUAGCACCCC
This 515-nucleotide long non-coding RNA is filed under the name Mytilus galloprovincialis (Mediterranean mussel). The record is from RNAcentral. Lineage: Eukaryota; Metazoa; Mollusca; Bivalvia; Mytilida; Mytilidae.